GCAAACUUGGUCAUUUAGAGGAAGUAAAAGUCGUAACAAGGUCUCCGUUGGUGAACCAGCGGAGGGAUCAUUAUAGAGUUAUCAAACUCCUAAACCCAUGUGAACUUACCUUUUGUUGCCUCGGCUGACCUUUCCCAAGGUUGGCCGAUGGCCCAAGAUUUUAACUCUUGAUAUUUCAGUCAUCUGAGUUUCUAUAUACAAAUAAGUCAAAACUUUUAACAACGGAUCUCUUGGUUCUGGCAUCGAUGAAGAACGCAGC
RNAcentral lists this unclassified non-coding RNA (259 nucleotides) under uncultured fungus. RNAcentral's name for it is "partial contains small subunit ribosomal RNA, internal transcribed spacer 1, and 5.8S ribosomal RNA". The stretch from base 1 to 73 matches the Rfam family "Eukaryotic small subunit ribosomal RNA", at positions 1759 to 1831 of the family's 1831-position model. The record is from RNAcentral. Lineage: Eukaryota; Fungi.